Molecule: non-coding RNA, 128 nt
Organism: Podarcis lilfordi (Lilford's wall lizard)
Lineage: Eukaryota; Metazoa; Chordata; Lepidosauria; Squamata; Lacertidae
Source: the annotation of a GenBank genome assembly
UUGCGCAUGCGCAAGCGUUAUUUCUGGUGCACAUCCGGGUUGGAGGAGGCCCGUGCACAUGCGCACAAGCUAUUUCUGGUGCUCCUCCAACCCGGAAGUGUGCCAGAAAUAGCGUGUGCACACGUGUA